GCCCGGGUGGUCUAGUGGUAUGAUUCGCGCUUAGUAAGUUCCACUUGAAUCAACCAAUUACCAUCUCAGUUACUAACAGCAUCUCCAGGGGUUAACCCUUAGCAUAUCUGCGCGAGGUCCCGCGUUCGAUCCGCGGCUCGGGCC
Non-coding RNA from Arachnomyces sp. PD_36, 144 nucleotides. The record is from the annotation of a GenBank genome assembly. Lineage: Eukaryota; Fungi; Ascomycota; Eurotiomycetes; Onygenales; Arachnomycetaceae.